GGCGCUAUAGCCAAGUGGUUACGGCGACAGAUUAGAAUUGUGGACAAGUUGUGUCGCUUCAUCUGUUCCUCUUUGAGGGCGCAGGUUCGAAUCCUGCUGGCGUCG
Non-coding RNA from Lentinula edodes (shiitake mushroom), 105 nucleotides. The record is from Rfam. NCBI's taxonomy places the organism in Eukaryota, Fungi, Basidiomycota, Agaricomycetes, Agaricales, Omphalotaceae.